This 7448-nucleotide long non-coding RNA is filed under the name Populus tremula. Its description in RNAcentral is "long non-coding RNA (PTRE_LNC002465)". Lineage: Eukaryota; Viridiplantae; Streptophyta; Magnoliopsida; Malpighiales; Salicaceae. The record is from RNAcentral.
GCUCGACACUUCACUGGCUUGUAUUCUUGGAAAUUGCUUGCUUGUUUUAAGUAAAGAGAGAGAGCUUCAGUACUUGGUGUGAACAAAAACCUGCGAAACUGAUCGAGUUCGUGACAUGCACUUGUAGUAGUAGCGAGUGCUUGCCCCCUCACUCUUUGUACGAUCCUCGCAUGAUUUGUUACUUCAAAAUAAAAAAAUUCUGAAAGCACAGAGAGAGGCCAAGGAGCAAGAGCCUAAUUAGGAGAACGGAGGGCAAUGGCCAUGGCCGAUAAGGAAGAGUGGCAAGCAUAGCAUAAAGUAAUGGUGCUUGAGAAGACAACAGUGAACUUUGUUGGACUUUCUCUGUGUAAACACCGCAAGAUUUAAAGCAACAGGCAGGGACAGAGCCUACCACAUGAUCAGAUAUGUGUGUGAUGUGACUUUCGAUGCCUGUCAUCAAACAGUAUCUCAUGGCUAUCUAUCUCUUUCUAAUCUGGGGACCAUGAAAGACUAUAUAUAAAGAAGGAUGCAUGUUGCAUAUAACUAUAGCUAGCUUGCUGAUGUAAUUGUAUUGUUGCAAUAUUUCACUUGGAGAUUCUGGAGUCCUUUCUUGUUUCCCUCUUGUUAAUUACAUCAUUCUGAAUUACAGCCAAUCCAAUUUGCAUACAUAUAAGAAUAAAAGUUAAUAUUACAUGUAAAAAUAAAAUUAAUUGUAUUUGCUAUUUAAAAUUAAAUUAAAAACUUGAACCCACGGUAUUCAUAUAAAUCCAGGAGAGAUACAUAAUCAAUCGCAUGACUGUUAUAAAUUGAUAAAACGAGAUUUAUCAACUCACCUGAAAAUCAUAUAAAAAAAAAAGGGGAUUCCAUUUAUAAAAUGUGAGAUUUAAACUAUAUAUAAUAUUACAGGUUAUUAUUCCACCCGUUAGUCAGCUAGCCACUACCUCAAGACCUUUGGCAAAUUCUAAACAUGAGCUGAUUUUGCCUAUUGCAUUGCAUCAUAACAACUUUACAAAGCAUAGGAUAGAUUUCCAUCUCAAUCACUUCAUAAAAAGAGUCCAAGACAAAACCAAACCCUAGCCAAUCAAGGGUUUAUCUUCCUUACAAAUCAACAGUUGAAAAAAGGAAGAACAAGUGCAUCUUUUCUAUGUGCGAAUGGAGGAUGGGGCAGGUUUCUUAGAACAUGGCCAAAUGGAUCAAAUCAAUCACAAAGCAAAUAAUAAAACGGAAGAAAGGGACACUGGAUUUGUUGCUGCUUUACACACAAGCUUAUUCCAUUUUAUCUCUACUUAAUGAUUAUGGUCUCUCUCUUGAUCCACACAUCUUAUCACACCCAAAAAACGAAGAAACAAAAGUUCAGUGCGUUUUACUGUACCCUAAAGAUACAUUUAUGGGCCCCAAGCAGUUUUAAAAUCACAUAAAAUCAUAUUAAAAUUUUCCUAAAAAUAUCUUUAUUUUAUGUCAUAAUCUUGCGAUUAUUUUAUCUUGUUUUUCGAGGGAAACAUUCUAUGAACAAAUUAUAGGUUAAAAACCGAAAGUUAAACCUGUAAUUAUCAAUAAGGAUUGUGUCAAUACAUUGAUGUUACUGCACACAGUAGAAGAAUAUUUUGAGCAUAACACAAAACGAUUCAAUGCAUGAGAAUAUUAUUUCAUCCUGAAGAGAAUUGUUGCCUUUGUAAUAAGUGGAACAGGAAACGUGUGAAAUCCAAGAUGGAAUAAUGUCAAAUCAAUUAUUUUCUUGGUGACAAUGCUGGAUUCUCUGUUUGAUCCUAUAGAUGUCAAUGGUGGUUGGAUUUUGAUUUGAAGUUACAUUUGUUGACACAGACCCGCAAAAAUAUUGUUCUGAGAAGAUGAAUUGUAGAUUUUAGAGUUUAGUUGGUAAAAGAAUCAUGAUUUGAAUAUAAAUUAAUUUUGAUAUAUUAAUUAAUUAAACAUGAAAGAUUUAAAAGAAAAAUUACUAUUCCAUUUCAAAUCAAGUACUGGCCAUUAUAUUGCAUGAUAGGAAACAAAUAUGUUUUAUUAUUGAAUUUAGGGGAAAAAAUGUUUUUCAUUACUAAUCAUAAAUCUUUUAUUUUAUAAGAGUUGAACAAAUAAUUUUAUUUUUUAUUUAAAAAAAAAAUUAUAAUUUUUAUUAUUUUUUGUAACCCCCACUUAUUUUAUUUUAUAACUGAGAGUCAUGUUAUGUAACUCAAAAUCUAAUAAACUCUUUAAUAAUCAUUGUUAUUAAAUUUAAUUUAGCAUGCUCAAGCUGAUAUAGAACAUGAUCCAGGCUAAGUUUCAUAGAGAAAUAAAAAACAUUGACUUAAUCAAGAGUCUGAAUUGAUCCAAGACCAUAUCAAUCAGGGCAAAAUUUAUUAAUUUUUUUUUAAAUAAAACAAUAUUAUUUUAUUUAAAUAAAUAAAUAUCAAUUUAAUUUAUAUGACUCAUGAUUUAGAUCUUGCAUCGAGUAAAACCUUAAGUUAGAUUUAAUAAUAAUAUUAAUAAUUAAAUAAAAAUAACUCCAUUAAACCAUUGCUGCUAUUUAAAGUUUCAAUAUAUAAGUAUUGACUUAAUCAAAAGUAUGAAUUGACCCAAGACCAUAUCAAUCAGGGCAAAAUUUAUUAAUUUUUUUUUAAAAAAUUAAAAUAAUAUUAUUUUAUUUAAAUAAAUAAAUAUUAAUUUAAUUUAUAUGACUCGUGAUUUAGGUCAUGCAUCGAGUAAAACUUUAAGUUACAUUUAAUAAUAAUAUUAAUAAUUAAAUAAAAAUAACUCCAUUAGACCAUUGCUGCUAUUUAAAGUUUUAAUAUAUAAGUAUUGACUUAAUCAAAAUUAUGAAUGGACCCAAGACCAUAUCAAUUAGGGCAAAAUUUAUUAAUUUUUUUUAAAAAAUUAAAAUAAUAUUAUUUUAUUUAAAUAAAUAAAUAUCAAUUUAAUUUAUAUGACUCAUGAUUUAGGUCUUGCAUCGAGUAAAACUUUAAGUUACAUUUAAUAAUAAUAUUAAUAAUUAAAUAAAAAUAACUCCAUUAGACCAUUGCUUCUAUUUAAAGUUUCAAUAUAUAAGUAUUGACUUAAUCAAAAAUAUGAAUUGACCCAAGACCAUAUCAAUAAGGAAAAAAUUUAUUAUUAUUUUAAAAAAAUUAAAAUAAUAUAAUUUUAUUUAAAUAAAUAAAUAUCAAUUUAAUUUAUAUGACUCAUGAUUUAGGUCUUGCAUCGAGUAAAAUUUUAAGUUAGAUUUAAUAAUAAUAUUAAUAAUUAAAUAAAAAUAACUCCAUUAGACCAUUACUACUAUUUAAAGUUUCAAUAUAUAAGUAUUGACUUAAUUAAAAGUAUGAAUUGACCAAAGACUAUAUCAGGGUAAAAUUUAUUAAAACUUUUUUUAAAAAAUUAAAAUAAUAUAAUUUUAUUUAAAUAAAUAAAUAUCAAUUUAAUUUAUAUGACUCAUGAUUUAGGUCUUGUAUCGAGUAAAAUUUUAAGUAAGAUUUAAUAAUAAUAUUAAUAAUUAAAUAAAAAUAACUUCAUUAGACCAUUGCUCCCACUUAUAAAUUGCACCGCCCUACUUCUCCGUUUCUCAAGCCUCACACACUUUCUUCUCAACCUUCUUACCAAAACCCCUGAAAGAUUAUAAAAACAUCAACAAAAGAAAAAAAUGAGACCCAUAAGCCACCUUGACACCACCAUGAGCACAUCAAAGGCAGCAGCCACCUCACCAUCACCGCCAGCAUUGCACUCUCCAGUGCCAUACCUCUUUGGAGGUCUAGCAGCUAUGAUGGGCCUGAUUGUUUUUGCUUUAUUAAUCUUGGCUUGCUCUUAUCGGAGAUUGCCUGGUCGUUUAGAUAGUGAAAAUGAAGGCAACGAUCAAAGAGAUCUUGAAAGUGGAAAUGAAAAGGAAGGAAGUAACCCUGGGAAGGCAGAGAAAAGGGUUUAUGAAGAGAAGUUCCUUGUUAUUAUGGCGGGGAAUGAGAAGCCAACAUGUUUAGCCACUCCUGUUUGUAGUAAAGUUUCUUCCUUUGUAGCCCAGAUUGAUAACCAAGAAGAAGAGAAGACAGAGAGCACCGGUGAUCAUUACAAGCUGAAAAAUGAAGAAACGAUAGGGGACAGCCAUGAUCAAGCAAGAACAACAGCUGAAGAAAACAUAGAGACACAAGAGAAUCAACGAGAAGUCCAAGAAGAACAAAAUUAAGCUGCAAUGAGCAGGAAAUAUAUAAAUCAAUUUUGGAGAUGAAAGGAGAGUGUUUAUUUUUUUCUUUUUUUCUGGUUCUUUUCCUGGUUUUUUGUGUUUUCGGUUCUGUUCUUGUAGUACUUCGGGAGGUGUAAAAAGUUUGCAGAGAUGAGGCAAUUCUUGAAGUAGAAGAAAAGGUUUUCUUCUUUACAGCAAAUUACAGCCAAAUUUUGCUUAGUAAUUAAUCAUAUUUUUCUUCAUAAUUACUUUUCCCCAUAUCUUUGAUUCGUUUUUACAGCCAGCAAUUACCAGCCUUCAUUGAUGACAACAAAUUACAGCCAAAGUUAUUAACCCAACCCAGGCAAUGACUUGAGUUAUUAAUCUAGUUCAGUCAAAACAAAACAAAAAAGUUGUUUGAAUUUCAUAUAAAAGAAAAAUCAAAAUAAUAUUAUUUUAAUUUAUUUUUAAAAGAUUAUAUUGAAUUUUAAUUAAGUUGAUUGAGUUGAUGAUUGAUUUUACUGAACUAAUAAGAAAAACUAAUGGAGAAUAAAGUGAAAAAAAUGGACUCGAAGGGUCAUAUACUCUUUAAAUAUAUUUUCUCUUAAUUUGGCUGCCGGAAUAUUCCAAGGAACAAAUUACUUGUUAAUUCAGUUGUAAAAAAAGAAAAGAAAAACUAAUGGAGAAUAAAGUGAAAAAAAUGGACGCGAAGGGUCAUAUACUCUUUAAAUAUAUUUUCUCUUAAUUUGGCUGCCGGAAAAUCCCAAGGAACAACUUACCCUUAAAGCACAGUGACAAGAAAUGAAGUAGUCCAACGUAAUAAAUCCGUCGACUGUGCAUGAAAUUUGUGCUGCCUGAAUGUCAGUGCAAGAGGAGAUGGGUGAUAAAUAAGUAAUUAUGAUAAAUAAUCUCUGUAUUUUUUAUGAUUUAGUUGAUAUUUUCAGAUCCAUUUACGUGAAGAAAUUAAUUUUAUAAUCUAGCUUUCAAUCUGUUUUUUUUUUUUAUGUUGUAAUUGAUUAGUUGAUACAACACAUUUAUAUACUAUUUUAAUGUUUUUGUAAGAGAAAAUAUUAAUUGAUAUUUUUUAUUUUUUAUGGAUUUAAUCCGCUAAUAUUAAAAAAAAUUAAAAAAUUAUUUUAAUUUAUUUUUAAUUAAAAAAUAUCAUAUACCACAUCACUAAAUACUUACUAAAUCUUCUUUGAUCAUUAAUGGGUAUUAUUAGUCCAACACAUCUGAUGAAUUUAUAUAAAUAUUAAAUUAAUUAUAUGUUCUAAUUUAUCCAAUAUUUAGGGGUUUUCUCAUCUAAAAUUAAGAAAUGAUCUUAGAAACAUUUCCCAUUUGAACAACAAAGAAAUGAUCCAUUGGUUGUGGUUUGUUCAGGUGAAUCAUUGAUUUUCCUUUGGGAGGCUUUAUAGGUGGCAUGGAGGUGGAUGUAGGGAGGUUUUUAGAAUGGUGUUUGAAAAUUGAAAUGGUAUUUUGGUGGUUUUAUAUAUAUAUAUAUAUUUUUUUUUCUUAAAAUUUAUUUUUUUAACGGACAGCUGUUUUCCCCUUAUUAAUAAUAAUAAUCCCCUGUGAACAGCAGAGAAUCUUACUAAUCUCCAUACAAGCCAAGGUCAGACCAUCUCUUGGAGAUCAAGUAAAGACGGAAUAACAUUCUUUCUAGAGAUCAAGAACGGUUUCGAUAGUUGUCUUACCAGGUGUACACCUGCUGAGGUGUUUUACUUAAUCAUACGUGGAGCAUAAUUUUAUUUUAUUUUUUAAGAUAGUUGAGAUGUACAAUAUAUAUAUAUAUAUAUAUAUAUAUAUAUAUUGUUUUAAAAUGACAAAAAAAUCAUUCUAGAAUUACUUUAGAAAUAUAUUUAUUUAAACGUGUUUUCGUAUCUAUUUAUGUGGUUAAAUAUAUUUUAUGUCUUUCAUAUUUAUUUUUUCUAUCUAUAUUUAUCUUUUCAGUAAUGAAACAUUAACUAAAUAUAAUAUUUAUAAUAUAUAAGGAUUGUGCCAACUCAAAUAUGAGUAAUUUCCAAGCUAUUUCCAUUCUUUGUAUCAUAUGGAUAAUGAUUUUAAUAUGCUGAUAUAAACAAAAAAAAACACUUAAGAUUCUAAAUUUAUUUUAGCCUCGCAUCAAAGUUGGUUUAAAGAAUGAAAAAUGCUUCCUCUACAAAUGAUCACAAACCCUAACUCAUAUAAAAAUUGAAGUUAAGCCUAAUAAUUAUUAUUAUCACUCCCAUCUCAUGCUAUAAAUAUUUCACUAUAUCUGCUGAUAUCAGCUCGUGAUUCGAUAGAUAUUUUAAUUGUAAAGAACAUCCUUUGCCCUUGCAGCAUGGUUCAUGUCAUGUUAUUGGAUUAAACAAUCUUACUUUUCCGACAAAUAAGCCCACAUGAUGCCACUCUGAGCAUAUAGUGUUAAAUAUAGCUAUUUGGAAUCAAACUACUAUAGCUUAUACACGGUUUAAAAAAAGAAAAAAAGAUAUUAAGAUCACAUGGUAUACUCGUAGUAUUUUUGGACCCGUUCGUGCUUUUUCAAACUAUAUCAAGACAUAUCCUUUCGUGUUAGCCUUGUAUAUUUAGAGAAAUUUAAUAAAUUUCAGUAAGGGCCUCUUAAAUUUGAAAUCAUAAUUUUUUUUAAAAAAAUCUUCUUAAUCACUAAACCAACCAUCAAAAUUAAAAAAAAAAUCUAGUUUUGAUCACAAUUGUUAAACCCAAUUCCAUCGAGCUAAUUGAUCUAAAUAUCUCAUGAUCUAUAAUCUUAACAUGUUAUAUUUAAGUUGAAAUAAUUUUAAUAUCAACCCAACAAAAAUCGAUUAAUUUAUUCAAACCUAGUUUAUACAUGAUUAAAUUAAUCAAUAUAUGAAAAAAAAUAAAAACUAAAAUAAUAUUAUUUUGAAUAAAAAUAAUAAACCAAGGUAUCAUAUUAACUCACAAAUUGAUCCAAUAACCGGAAGUGUGAGAAAUAUAGUUUUUGUGCAUAAAAGUUGAAUCAAUAAUCUUUUUUAUUAUUAAAAAAAUUCAUGUAUGUAUUUGUAUCAGGGCUGACACUCACGAAACAAUACCACAAGCCCAUCUGCCCUGCUUGGAACCACAUCUUCACAGCCCACAACACCCUCGACACUUCACUGGCUUGGAUUCUUGGAAAUUGCUUGCUUGUUUUAAGUAAAGAGAGAGAGCUUCAGUACUUGGUGUGAACAAAAACCUGCGAAACUGAUCGAGUUCGUGACAUGCACUUAGAAAUUUUCGAAGUGUGAGAAACAGAAACAAAAAGAAAAAAAUGGGUCUUUUGUUUAGUAGAAUGUUCUCUUCUUUAUUUGGCAAUAAAGAAGCUCGAAUACUUGUCCUCGGC